UUCGCCAAGUUGGUUAAGGCAUCGGAUUUUGAUUCCGACAUGCGUAGGUUCGAAUCCUACAU
This 62-nucleotide transfer RNA is filed under the name uncultured Kingella sp. It matches the Rfam family "tRNA", at positions 7 to 64 of the family's 71-position model. Rfam says of the family: Transfer RNA (tRNA) molecules are approximately 80 nucleotides in length. Their secondary structure includes four short double-helical elements and three loops (D, anti-codon, and T loops). The record is from RNAcentral. Lineage: Bacteria; Pseudomonadati; Pseudomonadota; Betaproteobacteria; Neisseriales; Neisseriaceae.